This 460-nucleotide ribosomal RNA is filed under the name uncultured bacterium. Its description in RNAcentral is "partial 16S ribosomal RNA". It matches the Rfam family "Bacterial small subunit ribosomal RNA", at positions 338 to 795 of the family's 1533-position model. The record is from RNAcentral.
CCUACGGGGGGCAGCAGUGGGGGAUAUUGCACAAUGGGGGGAACCCUGAUGCAGCGACGCCGCGUGAAGGAAGAAGGAUCUAUGGUUUGUAAACUUCUUUUAUAGGGGAAUAAAGGUAUCCACGUGUGGAUAUUUGCAUGUACCCUAUGAAUAAGCAUCGGCUAACUCCGUGCCAGCAGCCGCGGUAAUACGGAGGAUGCGAGCGUUAUCCGGAUUUAUUGGGUUUAAAGGGUGCGUAGGUUGUUUUUUAAGUCAGCGGUGAAAGUUUGUGGCUCAACCAUAAAAUUGCCGUUGAAACUGGAAGACUUGAGUGUGUUUGAGGUAGGCGGAAUGCGUGGUGUAGCGGUGAAAUGCAUAGAUAUCACGCAGAACUCCGAUUGCGAAGGCAGCUUACUAAGCCAUAACUGACACUGAAGCACGAAAGCGUGGGGAUCAAACAGGAUUAGAGACCCUUGUAGUC